UUUAGAUACCUUUUAUCGUUUCCAAAUGAACGAAAAACCUAACUCAUUCCCCAGUUGAACGAAAAACAAUAAAACAUCGAAUCCUAAAUCACUACUGAAAAUCCUAACUCGCUGCUGCGUCAACGGCAGUGCGAGUGCAUCAACGACAACCCAUCUUUUUUCCAGGUAAAUUCUGUUCUCUUCGAUUUACAAUCGAUUUACAGUAGAAUCGACUUCGCUGCCGAAAAAACCUAACUCACUGCUGCGUCAACGACAAUGUGAUUUACAGUGUGUCAACAACAGCCCAUCUUUUUUCAGGUCCUUUGCGCAUUUGUUCAAAAAAUAACCUGGACUACUUGAAGGUUGCUGACUGAGAUAUAAUACUGGACAGAUGCUUAAAGUGAAUACGUCUGAUGUGCUUAUGGUUUAUUCCGUGUUGCUAUCUUCUUCAGGAUAUUCUGGAGAAGGCCCAAACUCUCUCACUGCGAGCUUUAUUAAUUGAUUUGAUCCAGACAGUUUAUCUGAGAGGAGUAACUGGAAGUGCAUGAGGUCUAUCGCAUGUUCACUGUUUUGUGCUGUCUUUUAAAUUAUAUGUUGGCUUUAGAUAGUCAUGGGGAGAACUCUUACAUAAAUACUUUUUGGUCCUUGAAGUUCUUCUUCUGAUAAUUCAGUGGGGUUUUAGCGUAAUUUCAAAGGAUUUUCCCCCCAAUUUUAUGGUUUUAAAGCAGCUAAAAGAAUAUUUUGAAAUGUCCAUGCAUUAUACAAUCACGUUUUCGGAAAAUCUAAAAGGACAUUUCAAGAAGUUGGCACAGAAGUUUUUUUCAUUUCAGGAGAUACUUUCAAAAACAAUUGUCCUAUGCUGUUGCCUAAAUUAGUAAAUAAGUUAUCGAAAUUGAGAUAUCCUA
Long non-coding RNA from Nicotiana tabacum (common tobacco), 884 nucleotides. RefSeq lists it as uncharacterized. Lineage: Eukaryota; Viridiplantae; Streptophyta; Magnoliopsida; Solanales; Solanaceae. The record is from RefSeq and is a predicted model, not a curated record.